This is a long non-coding RNA of Prunus persica (peach), 571 nucleotides long. RefSeq lists it as uncharacterized. The record is from RefSeq and is a predicted model, not a curated record. The transcript is spliced from 2 exons. NCBI's taxonomy places the organism in Eukaryota, Viridiplantae, Streptophyta, Magnoliopsida, Rosales, Rosaceae.
AGAAAGAGAGAGAGAGAGAGAGAGAGAGAGAGAGAGAGAGAGAGAGAGAGAGAGAGAGAGAGAGAAGAUGAGCUUGGUUUGUUAUUUAGGAAGGGAAAAAACAGUGAAGGAUCUUUUUCGUGGGGAGAGAAACCUUAUAUAAAAUCCAAAGAUAGAAACCAAAAUGCAUGAUGGAGUGUUGCUGUUUUGAUUUGAUCCGGUUUGAACUCAAAGUUGCAGUGGUGUUUUUGUUUUUUUCCACGAGUUUUGUUGAACACUCUCUAUCUAAUCAGAGAAUUGAUCAGACUAGUUAUAGUGUACUGGUGGAACUAUGUAGUGACGACGUAGUUUUGUCAUAUGGUACGUAAUUAAUGUCGUCCCCACAACACAUUGGCCACCACUCACUCAGACUCAGCAGCAGGUACCACUCUCUUCCUACAAUUCGUACGUGCAGAGUUUUUUUCUGGUGAAAAAGAAAAUCCCUCAAAACCCUAACGAGCGAGCGAGAGAGCGAGGCAUGCAUGUUUCAGUUUCAUCAGAGCUACCUAUAUGUACAUAUUCUACUACAUAAAUAUAUGCUUUUUGUAUUUCA